UCAAGUGAUACUCCUGCCUCGGCCUCCCAAAGUGCUGGGAUUACAGAUGAAGAAAAUGAGGCACUGAGAGAUUACAUAACUUCCCUUGAGUCAUAUUUGCUUGUAAGUGGUAAGGCUGGAUGUUGAACCCAGGACAAAGGGAGCCCAGUGGAGGAUCCCUGGAGGAGCAAAUAGAAGAAACCCAAAAGGGACUUGAAAGCGGGUCCCCUCCCUCACCUGGAUUCCCAGUCCGAAGAGGAGGAAGCAUCCGCCCUCCUUCCCUCCUUCUGACCCACCCAGCCACCCACCCAAGGUGCCAUUAAAGUUAAU
Molecule: long non-coding RNA, 309 nt
Filed under: Homo sapiens (human)
Lineage: Eukaryota; Metazoa; Chordata; Mammalia; Primates; Hominidae
Description: HSALNT0370658
Source: RNAcentral